AACGCACAUUGCGCCUUCCAGUAUCCUGGGAGGCAUGCCUGUCCGAGCGUCGUUUCAACCCUCGAGCCCCCGUGGCCCGGUGUUGGGGACGCUGCCCAGCUACCUGGGCAGCCCCCCUAAAUGCAGUGGCGGUCCCGCAAGUCCCAGCCCUUUGCGUAGUAAUAUCAUUCUCGCUCUGGACGGCUCGCGGGCUUACCAGCCUCGAAACCCCCUACAAAGACCGCCCCGGCGGCAACGGUUGACCUCGGAUCAGGUAGGAAUACCCGCUGAACUUAA
This 276-nucleotide unclassified non-coding RNA is filed under the name uncultured fungus. RNAcentral's name for it is "sequence contains ITS2". The record is from RNAcentral. Lineage: Eukaryota; Fungi. RNAcentral also lists the same sequence under 1 other name.